RNAcentral lists this ribosomal RNA (484 nucleotides) under uncultured bacterium. RNAcentral describes it as "partial 16S ribosomal RNA". It matches the Rfam family "Bacterial small subunit ribosomal RNA", at positions 30 to 507 of the family's 1533-position model. The record is from RNAcentral.
AUUGAACGCUGGCGGCAGGCCUAACACAUGCAAGUCGAGCGGAUGAAGGGAGCUUGCUCCUGGAUUCAGCGGCGGACGGGUGAGUAAUGCCUAGGAAUCUGCCUGGUAGUGGGGGAUAACGUCCGGAAACGGGCGCUAAUACCGCAUACGUCCUGAGGGAGAAAGUGGGGGAUCUUCGGACCUCACGCUAUCAGAUGAGCCUAGGUCGGAUUAGCUAGUUGGUGGGGUAAAGGCCUACCAAGGCGACGAUCCGUAACUGGUCUGAGAGGAUGAUCAGUCACACUGGAACUGAGACACGGUCCAGACUCCUACGGGAGGCAGCAGUGGGGAAUAUUGGACAAUGGGCGAAAGCCUGAUCCAGCCAUGCCGCGUGCGUGAAGAAGGUCUUCGGAUUGUAAAGCACUUUAAGUUGGGAGGAAGGGCAGUAAGUUAAUACCUUGCUGUUUUGACGUUACCAACAGAAUAAGCACCGGCUAACUACGUG